RNAcentral lists this ribosomal RNA (738 nucleotides) under uncultured archaeon. RNAcentral's name for it is "bacterial SSU rRNA". It matches the Rfam family "Archaeal small subunit ribosomal RNA", at positions 54 to 798 of the family's 1478-position model. The record is from RNAcentral.
UGAGUCAUUGUAGCAAUACAAGGCAUACGGCUCAGUAACACGUAGUCAAUCUAACCUAUGGACGUGGAUAACCUCGGGAAACUGAGAAUAAUCCGCGAUAGAUCAUAAUUCCUGGAAUGGUUUAUGGUCCAAAUGAUUCGUCGCCAUAGGAUGGGACUGCGGCCUAUCAGCUUGUUGGUGAGGUAAUGGCUCACCAAGGCUAUUACAGGUACGGGCUCUGAGAGGAGAAGCCCGGAGAUGGGUACUGAGACACGGACCCAGGCCCUAUGGGGCGCAGCAGGCGAGAAACCUUUGCAAUGUGCGCAAGCACGACAAGGUUAAUCCGAGUGUUUCCUGCUAAAGGAAUCUUUUGUUAGUUCUAAAACCACUGAUGAAUAAGAGGUGGGCAAGUUCUGGUGUCAGCCGCCGCGGUAAAACCAGCACCUCAAGUGGUCAGGAGGAUUAUUGGGCCUAAAGCAUCCGUAGCCGGUUCUGUAAGUUUUCGGUUAAAUCCACUAGCUUAACUAAUGGGCUGCCGAAAAUACUGCAGAACUAGGGAGUGGGAGAGGUAGACGGUACUCGGUAGGAAGGGGUAAAAUCCUUUGAUCUAUUGAUGACCACCUGUGGCGAAGGCGGUCUACCAGAACACGUUCGACGGUGAGGGAUGAAAGCUGGGGGAGCAAACCGGAUUAGAUACCCGGGUAGUCCCAGCUGUAAACGAUGCAGACUCGGUGAUGCACUGGCUUGUGGCCAGUGCAG